AACGAACGCUGGCGGCAGGCUUAACACAUGCAAGUCGGACGCCCCGCAAGGGGAGUGGCAGACGGGUGAGUAACGCGUGGGAACAUACCCUUUUCUACGGAAUAGCUCUGGGAAACUGGAAUUAAUACCGUAUACGCCCUACGGGGGAAAGAUUUAUCGGGGAAGGAUUGGCCCGCGUUGGAUUAGCUAGUUGGUGGGGUAAAGGCCUGCCAAGGCGACGAUCCAUAGCUGGUCUGAGAGGAUGAUCAGCCACAUUGGGACUGAGACACGGCCCAAACUCCUACGGGAGGCAGCAGUGGGGAAUAUUGGACAAUGGGCGCAAGCCUGAUCCAGCCAUGCCGCGUGAGUGAUGAAGGCCUUAGGGUUGUAAAGCUCUUUCACCGAUGAAGAUAAUGACGGUAGUCGGAGAAGAAGCCCCGGCUAACUUCGUG
RNAcentral lists this ribosomal RNA (431 nucleotides) under uncultured bacterium. Its description in RNAcentral is "partial 16S ribosomal RNA". It matches the Rfam family "Bacterial small subunit ribosomal RNA", at positions 29 to 507 of the family's 1533-position model. The record is from RNAcentral.